CGCGUUUUUCGCCCAGGCGGAGCUCGACCGCCGCAUCAAGAGCUGAAGCGCUUCGUCGACACGUACCGAGAUCGCUUCGGGGUCGAGCCGAUCUGCCGUGUGCUGCAGAUCGCCCCG
Molecule: non-coding RNA, 117 nt
Organism: Pseudomonas sp. EGD-AK9
Lineage: Bacteria; Pseudomonadati; Pseudomonadota; Gammaproteobacteria; Pseudomonadales; Pseudomonadaceae
Source: Rfam